AACGAACGCUGGCGGCGUGGAUAAGACAUGCAAGUCGAACGAGAGAAUUGCUAGCUUGCUAAUAAUUCUCUAGUGGCGCACGGGUGAGUAACACGUGAGUAACCUGCCCCCGAGAGCGGGAUAGCCCUGGGAAACUGGGAUUAAUACCGCAUAGUAUCGAAAGAUUAAAGCAGCAAUGCGCUUGGGGAUGGGCUCGCGGCCUAUUAGUUAGUUGGUGAGGUAACGGCUCACCAAGGCGAUGACGGGUAGCCGGUCUGAGAGGAUGUCCGGCCACACUGGAACUGAGACACGGUCCAGACACCUACGGGUGGCAGCAGUCGAGAAUCAUUCACAAUGGGGGAAACCCUGAUGGUGCGACGCCGCGUGGGGGAAUGAAGGUCUUCGGAUUGUAAACCCCUGUCAUGUGGGAGCAAAUUAAAAAGAUAGUACCACAAGAGGAAGAGACGGCUAACUCUGUGCCAGCAGCCGCGGUAAUACAGAGGUCUCAAGCGUUGUUCGGAAUCACUGGGCGUAAAGCGUGCGUAGGCUGUUUCGUAAGUCGUGUGUGAAAGGCGCGGGCUCAACCCGCGGACGGCACAUGAUACUGCGAGACUAGAGUAAUGGAGGGGGAACCGGAAUUCUCGGUGUAGCAGUGAAAUGCGUAGAUAUCGAGAGGAACACUCGUGGCGAAGGCGGGUUCCUGGACAUUAACUGACGCUGAGGCACGAAGGCCAGGGGAGCGAAAGGGAUUUAGAUACCCCUGUAGUCCUGGCAGUAAACGGUGCACGCUUGGUGUGCGGGGAAUCGACCCCCUGCGUGCCGGAGCUAACGCGUUAAGCGUGCCGCCUGGGGAGUACGGUCGCAAGAUUAAAACUCAAAGAAAUUGACGGGGACCCGCACAAGCGGUGGAGUAUGUGGCUUAAUUCGAUGCAACGCGAAGAACCUUACCUGGGCUUGACAUGUAAUGAACAACAUGUGAAAGCAUGCGACUCUUCGGAGGCGUUACACAGGUGCUGCAUGGCCGUCGUCAGCUCGUGUCGUGAGAUGUUUGGUUAAGUCCAGCAACGAGCGCAACCCCUGUUGCCAGUUACCAGCACGUGAAGGUGGGGACUCUGGCGAGACUGCCCAGAUCAACUGGGAGGAAGGUGGGGACGACGUCAGGUCAGUAUGGCCCUUAUGCCCAGGGCUGCACACGUACUACAAUGCCCAGUACAGAGGGGGCCGAAGCCGCGAGGCGGAGGAAAUCCUGAAAACUGGGCCCAGUUCGGACUGUAGGCUGCAACCCGCCUACACGAAGCCGGAAUCGCUAGUAAUGGCGCAUCAGCUACGGCGCCGUGAAUACGUUCCCGGGUCUUGUAC
Molecule: ribosomal RNA, 1338 nt
Filed under: uncultured bacterium
Lineage: Bacteria
Description: 16S ribosomal RNA
Rfam family: Bacterial small subunit ribosomal RNA
Source: RNAcentral